GGGGGUAUAGCUCAGUGGUAGAGUGCAUGCUUGGCAGGCACGAGGUCCUGGGCUCAAUUCCCAAUGCCUCCA
RNAcentral lists this transfer RNA (72 nucleotides) under Camelus bactrianus (Bactrian camel). It matches the Rfam family "tRNA". From Rfam's summary of the family: Transfer RNA (tRNA) molecules are approximately 80 nucleotides in length. RNAcentral also lists the same sequence under 2 other names. The record is from Rfam by way of RNAcentral. Lineage: Eukaryota; Metazoa; Chordata; Mammalia; Artiodactyla; Camelidae.